AUACGGAGGGUGCAAGCGUUACUCGGAAUCACAGGGCGUAAAGCGCGCGCAGGCGGCUUGAUAAGUUGGAUGUGAAAGCCUACGGCUCAACCGUAGAACUGCAUCCAAAACUGUCAAGCUAGAGUCUGGGAGGGGAAGAUGGAAUUAGUUGUGUAGGGGUAAAAUCCGUAGAGAUAACUAGGAAUACCAAAAGCGAAGGCGAUCUUCUGGAACAGUACUGACGCUGAGGCGCGAAAGCGUGGGGAGCAAACAGGAUUAGAAACCCGGGUAGUCC
This 274-nucleotide ribosomal RNA is filed under the name uncultured bacterium. RNAcentral describes it as "partial 16S ribosomal RNA". It matches the Rfam family "Bacterial small subunit ribosomal RNA", at positions 523 to 796 of the family's 1533-position model. The record is from RNAcentral.